UAGGGAAUCUUCCACAAUGGACGCAAGUCUGAUGGAGCAACGCCGCGUGAGUGAAGAAGGUUUUCGGAUCGUAAAGCUCUGUUGUUGGUGAAGAAGGAUAGAGGCAGUAACUGGUCUUUAUUUGACGGUAAUCAACCAGAAAGUCACGGCUAACUACGUGCCAGCAGCCGCGGUAAUACGUAGGUGGCAAGCGUUGUCCGGAUUUAUUGGGCGUAAAGCGAGCGCAGGCGGAAUGAUAAGUCUGAUGUGAAAGCCCACGGCUCAACCGUGGAACUGCAUCGGAAACUGUCAUUCUUGAGUGCAGAAGAGGAGAGUGGAAGUCCAUGUGUAGCGGUGGAAUGCGUAGAUAUAUGGAAGAACACCAGUGGCGAAGGCGGCUCUCUGGUCUGCAACUGACGCUGAGGCUCGAAAGCAUGGGUAGCGAACAGG
This 429-nucleotide ribosomal RNA is filed under the name bacterium. RNAcentral describes it as "partial 16S ribosomal RNA". It matches the Rfam family "Bacterial small subunit ribosomal RNA", at positions 355 to 776 of the family's 1533-position model. The record is from RNAcentral. RNAcentral also lists the same sequence under 1 other name.